ACGCUGGCGGCGUGCCUAAUACAUGCAAGUCGAGCGAACAGAAAAGGAGCUUGCUCCUUUGACGUUAGCGGCGGACGGGUGAGUAACACGUGGGCAACCUACCCUAUAGUUUGGGAUAACUCCGGGAAACCGGGGCUAAUACCGAAUAACCUCUUUUGCUUCAUGGCGAAAGACUGAAAGACGGUUUCGGCUGUCGCUAUAGGAUGGGCCCGCGGCGCAUUAGCUAGUUGGUGAGGUAACGGCUCACCAAGGCGACGAUGCGUAGCCGACCUGAGAGGGUGAUCGGCCACACUGGGACUGAGACACGGCCCAGACUCCUACGGGAGGCAGCAGUAGGGAAUCUUCCACAAUGGGCGAAAGCCUGAUGGAGCAACGCCGCGUGAGUGAAGAAGGUUUUCGGAUCGUAAAACUCUGUUGUAAGGGAAGAACAAGUACAGUAGUAACUGGCUGUACCUUGACGGUACCUUAUUAGAAAGCC
This 478-nucleotide ribosomal RNA is filed under the name Lysinibacillus macroides. Its description in RNAcentral is "bacterial SSU rRNA". It matches the Rfam family "Bacterial small subunit ribosomal RNA", at positions 33 to 492 of the family's 1533-position model. The record is from RNAcentral. Lineage: Bacteria; Bacillati; Bacillota; Bacilli; Caryophanales; Bacillaceae.